CAGCAGCCGCGGUAAAACGUAGGUGGCAAGCGUUGUCCGGAAUUAUUGGGCGUAAAGGGCUCGCAGGCGGUUUCUUAAGUCUGAUGUGAAAGCCCCCGGCUCAACCGGGGAGGGUCAUUGGAAACUGGGAAACUUGAGUGCAGAAGAGGAGAGUGGAAUUCCACGUGUAGCGGUGAAAUGCGUAGAGAUGUGGAGGAACACCAGUGGCGAAGGCGACUCUCUGGUCUGUAACUGACGCUGAGGAGCGAAUGCGUGGGGAGCAAACAGGAUUAGAGACCCCUGUAGUCCCUGUCUCUUAUAC
Molecule: ribosomal RNA, 301 nt
Filed under: uncultured bacterium
Lineage: Bacteria
Description: partial 16S ribosomal RNA
Rfam family: Bacterial small subunit ribosomal RNA
Source: RNAcentral